AAUAUUGCACAAUGUUCUAAAGCCUGAUGCAGCAACGCCUCGUGAGUGAUUAAGGCCUUUGGGUCGUAAAGCUCUUUGGUCAGGGAUGAUAAAGACAGUACCUGAAAUAUAAGCCACGGCUAACAUCGUGCAAGCAGCCGUUGUAAUACGUAGGUGGCUAGCGUUGUCCGGAAUUACUGGGCGUAAAGGAUGCGUAGGUGGAUACUUAAGUGGGAUGUGAAAUCCCCGGGCUCAACCCGGGAACUGCAUUCCAAACUGGGUAUCUAGAGUGCAGGAGAGGAAAGCGGAAUUCCUAGUGUAGCGGUGAAAUGCGUAGAUAUUAGGAGGAACACCAGUGGCGAAGGCGGCUUUCUGGACUGUAACUGACACUGAGGCAUGAAAGCGUGGGUAGCAAACAGG
This 399-nucleotide ribosomal RNA is filed under the name uncultured bacterium. RNAcentral describes it as "partial 16S ribosomal RNA". It matches the Rfam family "Bacterial small subunit ribosomal RNA", at positions 360 to 776 of the family's 1533-position model. The record is from RNAcentral.